GUGGAAGAUCCGAGGACAAAGGUUCCUCAAUGUAAAGGGAAGUUCUUAGAUGUUAAUCAAGCUCUUGAAGUGGCUAGAUAUGACAUUCAAUACUGUGAUUGGCGAGCUCGGCAAGAUGUUCUUGCAAUCAUGCUUCUCCAUGAAAAGGUUGUGGAAGUCCUAAAUCCUCUAGCCCGUGACUAUAAAUCUAUCGGAACAAUGAAGAAAGAGCUUGCCGGAUUACAGGACGAAUUAGCAGAAGCUCAUAGACAGGUUCAUAUAUCUGAAGCACGGGUU
This 276-nucleotide unclassified non-coding RNA is filed under the name Hevea brasiliensis (rubber tree). Lineage: Eukaryota; Viridiplantae; Streptophyta; Magnoliopsida; Malpighiales; Euphorbiaceae. The record is from RNAcentral.